CCCUUAGAUGUCCUGGGCCGCACGCGCGUUACACUGAUGCAUUCAACGAGCUUAUAACCUUGGCCGAGAGGCCUGGGCAAUCUUGUUAACGUGCAUCGUGAUGGGGAUAGAUUAUUGAAAUUAUUAAUCUUGAACGAGGAAUUCCAAGUAAACGCAGAUCAUCAAUCUGCAUUGAUUACGUCCCUGCCCUUUGUACACACCGCCCGUCGCACCUACCGAUUGGAUGGUCCGGUGAAGCCUCGGGAUUGUGGUUCUUGCCGCUUUAUUGUGGCGUGACCGCGAGAACUUGUCUAAACCUUAUCAUCUAGAGGAAGGUGAAGUCGUAACA
RNAcentral lists this ribosomal RNA (328 nucleotides) under uncultured eukaryote. RNAcentral's name for it is "partial 18S ribosomal RNA". It matches the Rfam family "Eukaryotic small subunit ribosomal RNA", at positions 1470 to 1796 of the family's 1831-position model. The record is from RNAcentral.